CACAAGGAUACCACAUAGAAGUGGAGACACUGAACUGAGCUUCUGGGGAAAAAAAUCUUGUUGAAAGACUUCUUAUAACUUACAGGAAUAAACUGAUCCCUACAGAAAUUCAAUGACUUUUCCAAAUUCAUACAGCCAGCAAGUGAUAUUUUUAGUUAUAUAUUUUGAGUAGAGUGAUGGAGGAAAGAGUUAAGAAGGUGAAUUUUGGAGAAUAUUUCAAGGCCAAAAAGUCAAGAAUGGAUUGUCUUAAGCUGAGCAAAGAACUACAGAAUUGAUUGUACAACAGCUUUUUGUCUGAAGAUACAGACA
This 309-nucleotide long non-coding RNA is filed under the name Monodelphis domestica (gray short-tailed opossum). RNAcentral describes it as "lncRNA (ENSMODG00000045533.1)". The record is from RNAcentral. Lineage: Eukaryota; Metazoa; Chordata; Mammalia; Didelphimorphia; Didelphidae.